RNAcentral lists this ribosomal RNA (253 nucleotides) under uncultured bacterium. RNAcentral's name for it is "partial 16S ribosomal RNA". It matches the Rfam family "Bacterial small subunit ribosomal RNA", at positions 524 to 776 of the family's 1533-position model. The record is from RNAcentral.
UACGGGGGGGGCAAGCGUUGUUCGGAAUUACUGGGGGGAAAGGGUUCGUAGGUGGCUUGCUAAGUCAGACGUGAAAUCCCUCAGCUUAACUGGGGAACUGCGUCUGAUACUGGCGAGCUUGAGUGCAGGAGAGGAACGCAGAAUUCCAGGUGUAGCGGUGAAAUGCGUAGAUAUCUGGAGGAAUACCGGUGGCGAAGGCGGCGUUCUGGACUGCAACUGACACUGAUGAACGAAAGCCAGGGGAGCAAACGGG